This 332-nucleotide unclassified non-coding RNA is filed under the name soil metagenome. Its description in RNAcentral is "partial contains 5.8S ribosomal RNA, internal transcribed spacer 2, and large subunit ribosomal RNA". The stretch from base 1 to 120 matches the Rfam family "5.8S ribosomal RNA", at positions 35 to 154 of the family's 154-position model. The record is from RNAcentral.
GAUGAAGAACGUAGCGAAAUGCGAUACGUAAUGUGAAUUGCAGAUUUCAGUGAAUCAUCGAAUCUUUGAACGCACAUGGCGCCCGCUAGUAUUCUGGCGGGCAUGCCUGUUCGAGCGUCAUUUCAACCAUCAAGCCCUAGGCUUGCGUUGGAGCCCUGCGGCUGCCGCAGGCUCCCAAAUCCAGUGGCGGGCUCGUCGUCGUACCGAGUGCAGUAAACAUCCUCGCUCAGGGAACGUGACGGGUUCUUGCCGUGAAACCCCCCACAUAUCAAGGUUGACCUCGGAUCAGGUAGGAAUACCCGCUGAACUUAAGCAUAUCAAUAAGCGGAGGA